UACGUAGGUGGCAAGCGUUGUCCGGAAUUACUGGGCGUAAAGGGCGUGUAGGCGGCCUUUUAAGUCAGACGUGAAAAUCCAGGGCUUAACCCUGGGACUGCGUUUGAGACUGGAAGGCUUGAGGAUCGGAGAGGGCAGUGGAAGUCCCAGUGUAGCGGUGAAAUGCGUAGAUAUUGGGAGGAACACCAGUGGCGAAGGCGGCUGCCUGGACGACACCUGACGCUGAGGCGCGAAAGCUAGGGGAGCAAACGGG
RNAcentral lists this ribosomal RNA (253 nucleotides) under uncultured bacterium. Its description in RNAcentral is "partial 16S ribosomal RNA". It matches the Rfam family "Bacterial small subunit ribosomal RNA", at positions 524 to 776 of the family's 1533-position model. The record is from RNAcentral.